UGUGGGAGCUGGCUUGCCUGCGAUGGCGGUGUUUCAGUCAGCAUCUUCGGCGACUGAUGCGCCGCCAUCGCAGGCAAGCCAGCUCCCACA
This 90-nucleotide unclassified non-coding RNA is filed under the name Pseudomonas libanensis. Lineage: Bacteria; Pseudomonadati; Pseudomonadota; Gammaproteobacteria; Pseudomonadales; Pseudomonadaceae. The record is from RNAcentral. RNAcentral also lists the same sequence under 1 other name.